Molecule: ribosomal RNA, 263 nt
Filed under: uncultured bacterium
Lineage: Bacteria
Description: partial 16S ribosomal RNA
Rfam family: Bacterial small subunit ribosomal RNA
Source: RNAcentral
UACGUAGGGGGGCAAGCGUUGUCCGGAAUCAUUGGGCGUAAAAGCGCGUGUAGGCGGCUCGGUAAGUCCGCUCUGAAAAGUCCAGGGGCUCAACCCCUGGGGAUGCGGGGUGGAUACUGCCCGGGGCUCGAGUCCGGAAGAGGCGAGUGGAAUUCCCGGUGUAGCGGUGAAAUGCGCAGAUAUCAGGAGGAACACCGGUGGCGAAGGCGGUUCUCUGGGCAUUACCUGACGCUGAGGAGCGAAAGCAUGGGGGAGCGAACAGG